Molecule: ribosomal RNA, 489 nt
Filed under: uncultured bacterium
Lineage: Bacteria
Description: partial 16S ribosomal RNA
Rfam family: Bacterial small subunit ribosomal RNA
Source: RNAcentral
GAUGAACGCUAGCUACAGGCUUAACACAUGCAAGUCGAGGGGCAGCAUGGUCUUAGCUUGCUAAGGCCGAUGGCGACCGGCGCACGGGUGAGUAACACGUAUCCAACCUGCCGUCUACUCUUGGACAGCCUUCUGAAAGGAAGAUUAAUACAAGAUGGCAUCAUGAGUCCGCAUGUUCACAUGAUUAAAGGUAUUCCGGUAGACGAUGGGGAUGCGUUCCAUUAGAUAGUAGGCGGGGUAACGGCCCACCUAGUCUUCGAUGGAUAGGGGUUCUGAGAGGAAGGUCCCCCACAUUGGAACUGGGACACGGUCCAAACCCCUAGGGGGGGCAGCAGGGAGGAAUAUUGGUCAAUGGGCGAAGGCCUGAACCAGCCAAGUAGGGUGAAGGAUGACUGCCCUUUGGGUUGUAAACUUUUUUUAAAAAGGAAAAAAGUCGGGUAUGUAUACCCGUUUGCAUGUACUUUAGGAAAAAAGAUCGGCUAACUCCGU